GACGAACGCUGGCGGCGUGCUUAACACAUGCAAGUCGAACGGAAAGGCCCUGCUUUUGUGGGGUGCUCGAGUGGCGAACGGGUGAGUAACACGUGAGUAACCUGCCCUUGACUUUGGGAUAACUUCAGGAAACUGGGGCUAAUACCGGAUAGGAGCUCCUGCUGCAUGGUGGGGGUUGGAAAGUUUCGGCGGUUGGGGAUGGACUCGCGGCUUAUCAGCUUAUUGGUGGGGUAGUGGCUUACCAAGGCUUUGACGGGUAGCCGGCCUGAGAGGGUGACCGGCCACAUUGGGACUGAGAUACGGCCCAGACUCCUACGGGAGGCAGCAGUGGGGAAUAUUGCACAAUGGGCGGAAGCCUGAUGCAGCAACGCCGCGUGCGGGAUGACGGCCUUCGGGUUGUAAACCGCUUUCGCCUGUGACGAAGCGUGAGUGACGGUAAUGGGUAAAGAAGCACCGGCUAACUACGUGCCAGCAGCCGCGGUGAUACGUAGGGUGCGAGCGUUGUCCGGAUUUAUUGGGCGUAAAGGGCUCGUAGGUGGUUGAUCGCGUCGGAAGUGUAAUCUUGGGGCUUAACCCUGAGCGUGCUUUCGAUACGGGUUGACUUGAGGAAGGUAGGGGAGAAUGGAAUUCCUGGUGGAGCGGUGGAAUGCGCAGAUAUCAGGAGGAACACCAGUGGCGAAGGCGGUUCUCUGGGCCUUUCCUGACGCUGAGGAGCGAAAGCGUGGGGAGCGAACAGGCUUAGAUACCCUGGUAGUCCACGCUGUAAACGGUGGGUACUAGGUGUGGGGUCCAUUCCACGGGUCCCGUGCCGUAGCUAACGCUUUAAGUACCCCGCCUGGGGAGUACGGCCGCAAGGCUAAAACUCAAAGGAAUUGACGGGGCCCCGCACAAGCGGCGGAGCAUGCGGAUUAAUUCGAUGCAACGCGUAGAGCCUUACCUGGGUUUGACAUGGAUCGGGAGUGCUCAGAGAUGGGUGUGCCUCUUUUGGGGUCGGUUCACAGGUGGUGCAUGGCUGUCGUCAGCUCGUGUCGUGAGAUGUUGGGUUAAGUCCCGCAACGAGCGCAACCCUUGUUCACUGUUGCCAGCACGUUAUGGUGGGGACUCAGUGGAGACCGCCGGGGUCAACUCGGAGGAAGGUGGGGAUGACGUCAAGUCAUCAUGCCCCUUAUGUCCAGGGCUUCACGCAUGCUACAAUGGCCGGUACAGAGAGUGGCGAGCCUGUGAGGGUGAGCGAAUCUCGGAAAGCCGGUCUCAGUUCGGAUUGGGGUCUGCAACUCGACCUCAUGAAGUCGGAGUCGCUAGUAAUCGCAGAUCAGCAACGCUGCGGUGAAUACGUUCCCGGG
RNAcentral lists this ribosomal RNA (1343 nucleotides) under uncultured bacterium. Its description in RNAcentral is "16S ribosomal RNA". It matches the Rfam family "Bacterial small subunit ribosomal RNA", at positions 28 to 1378 of the family's 1533-position model. The record is from RNAcentral.